GAUGAACGCUGGCGGCGUGCCUAAUACAUGCAAGUCGAACGGACGUACCAUGUUCUUUCUGCUCUGGUGUUGUCGCCAGACGGGGGGUUAAACCUGGGAUAACCGCCCUAUACUACUGGGAUAACGUCUGGAAACCUGACCUAUACCGGGAUAAUUGUUUGUACCGCAUGGUUCAAAAGUAAAAGAUGCUCUUGCGUGCAGUUAUGGAUGGAGCGGUGCUGCAUUAGCUAGUUGGUAAGGGAACGGCUUACCAAGGCAACGAUGCCUAGCCGCCGUGAGCGGGGGAUCGGCCACCAUGGAGCUGAGAAACGGUACAGACUACUACGGGAGGCAGCAGUAGGGAAUCUUACGCAAUGGGCGAAAGAAGGCUGGAGCAACGCCGUGGGAGUGAUGAAGGUCUUCGGCUCGUAAAAAUCUGCUAUUAGGGAAGAAGAUAUGUGUACGUAACUGUGUACAGCUUGCCGUAGCCUAAUUAGAAAGCGCCGGCUAACUACGUG
Molecule: ribosomal RNA, 497 nt
Filed under: uncultured bacterium
Lineage: Bacteria
Description: partial 16S ribosomal RNA
Rfam family: Bacterial small subunit ribosomal RNA
Source: RNAcentral